RNAcentral lists this ribosomal RNA (492 nucleotides) under uncultured bacterium. RNAcentral describes it as "partial 16S ribosomal RNA". It matches the Rfam family "Bacterial small subunit ribosomal RNA", at positions 29 to 507 of the family's 1533-position model. The record is from RNAcentral.
AGUGAACGCUGGCGGUAGGCCUAACACAUGCAAGUCGAACGGCAGCACAGUAAGAGCUUGCUCUUACGGGUGGCGAGUGGCGGACGGGUGAGGAAUACAUCGGAAUCUACUUUUUCGUGGGGGAUAACGUAGGGAAACUUACGCUAAUACCGCAUACGACCUACGGGUGAAAGCAGGGGAUCUUCGGACCUUGCGCGAUUGGAUGAGCCGAUGUCGGAUUAACUAGUUGGCGGGGUAAAGGCCCACCAAGGCGACGAUCCGUAGCUGGUCUGAGAGGAUGAGUGCGCCCCCUGGGACAGGGGACCCGGCCCAACUCCCUCGGGGGGCCACCGGGGGGAAAUUUGGGCAAAGGGGCGGAACCCUGACCCACCCAACCCGGGGGGGUGAAGAAGGCCUGCGGGUUGUAAACCCCUUUUUUUGGGAAAAAAAAGCAGCCGGUUAAACCCCCGCUGUUUGACCGGGACCCAAAAAAAAAGCCCCGGUAACUUUGGG